CCCUUAGAUGUUCUGGGCUGCACGCGCGCUACACUGAUGCGUUCAACGAGUGUACACCUUACUCGAGAGGGUUGGGUAAUCUUUUGAAAACGCAUCGUGAUGGGGAUAGAUUAUUGUAAUUAUUAAUCUUCAACGAGGAAUUCCUAGUAAGGGCCAAUCAUCAGUUGGUCCUGAUUACGUCCCUGCCCUUUGUACACACCGCCCGUCGCACCUACCGAUUGGAUGGUCCGGUGAAGCCUCGGGAUUGUGGCGGUUGCCUUUAUUGGUGGCCGCCGCGAGAACUUGUCUAAACCUUAUCAUCUAGAGGAAGGUGAAGUCGUAACA
Molecule: ribosomal RNA, 324 nt
Filed under: uncultured eukaryote
Lineage: Eukaryota
Description: partial 18S ribosomal RNA
Rfam family: Eukaryotic small subunit ribosomal RNA
Source: RNAcentral